RNAcentral lists this microRNA precursor (52 nucleotides) under Hydra vulgaris (swiftwater hydra). Its description in RNAcentral is "Hvu-Novel-14_pre stem-loop". Lineage: Eukaryota; Metazoa; Cnidaria; Hydrozoa; Anthoathecata; Hydridae. The record is from RNAcentral.
AAUGUUGACGGUGAUUAUCAUGGUAUAACCAUGAUAAUUAUCCCAACAUUGA